RNAcentral lists this unclassified non-coding RNA (378 nucleotides) under uncultured bacterium. Its description in RNAcentral is "contains 16S-23S intergenic spacer region". The record is from RNAcentral.
UCCGGUUUGUCACCGGCAGUCACCUUAGAGUGCCCAACUAAAUGCUGGCAACUAAGAUCAAGGGUUGCGCUCGUUGCGGGACUUAACCCAACAUCUCACGACACGAGCUGACGACAGCCAUGCAGCACCUGGACCAGGGGUCCCCGAAGGAAAGACCUCAUCUCUGAGGCUGUCCCCUGUUGUCUAGCCCAGGUAAGGUUCUUCGCGUUGCGUCGAAUUGAACCACAUGCUCCACCGCUUGUGCGGGCCCCCGUCAAUUCCUUUGAGUUUCAGUCUUGCGGCCGUACUCCCCAGGCGGGGCACUUACUGCGUUAGCGACGGCACCGGGAGGGUCGCUCCCCCCGACGCCUAGUGCCCAUCGUUUACGGCGUGGACUAC